RNAcentral lists this ribosomal RNA (402 nucleotides) under Bacteroidota bacterium. Its description in RNAcentral is "Bacteroidetes bacterium partial 16S ribosomal RNA". It matches the Rfam family "Bacterial small subunit ribosomal RNA", at positions 355 to 776 of the family's 1533-position model. The record is from RNAcentral. Lineage: Bacteria; Pseudomonadati; Bacteroidota.
UGGGGAAUUUUGCACAAUGGGGGAAACCCUGAUGCAGCGACGCCGCGUGAUUUAGAAGGCCUUCGGGUUGUAAAAAUCUUUUCUAUGGGAAGAAAAUGACAGUACCAUAGGAAUAAGGACCGGCUAAUUACGUGCCAGCAGCCGCGGUAAUACGUAAGGUCCGAGCGUUGUCCGGAAUCAUUGGGCGUAAAGGGUACGUAGGCGGGUAAGCAAGUUAGAAGUGAAAUCCUGUAGCCCAACUACAGUAAGCUUUUAAAACUGCUCAUCUUGAGAUAUGGAAGGGAAAGUGGAAUUCCUAGUGUAGCGGUGAAAUGCGCAGAUAUUAGGAGGAAUACCGGUGGCGAAGGCGACUUUCUGGCCAUAAUCUGACGCUGAGGUACGAAAGCGUGGGUAGCAAACAGG